GGGUUGUGAGGUUAAGCGACUAAGCGUACACGGUGGAUGCCCUGGCAGUCAGAGGCGAUGAAGGACGUGCUAAUCUGCGAUAAGCGCCGGUAAGGUGAUAUGAACCGUUAUAACCGGCGAUUUCCGAAUGGGGAAACCCAGUGUGAUUCGUCACACUAUCAUUAACUGAAUCCAUAGGUUAAUGAGGCGAACCGGGGGAACUGAAACAUCUAAGUACCCCGAGGAAAAGAAAUCAACCGAGAUUCCCCCAGUAGCGGCGAGCGAACGGGGAGGAGCCCAGAGCCUGAAUCAGCAUGUGUGUUAGUGGAAGCGUCUGGAAAGGCGCGCGAUACAGGGUGACAGCCCCGUACACAAAAGCGCAUGUGCUGUGAGCUCGAUGAGUAGGGCGGGACACGUGGUAUCCUGUCUGAAUAUGGGGGGACCAUCCUCCAAGGCUAAAUACUCCUGACUGACCGAUAGUGAACCAGUACCGUGAGGGAAAGGCGAAAAGAACCCCGGCGAGGGGAGUGAAAAAGAACCUGAAACCGUGUACGUACAAGCAGUGGGAGCCCCACCACCAAAGCAUUCUCUGGUGUUGAAGGCCCUGCAAAGCAGCAUCGCGGUGGCGGAGCGUCGUUUGCGACGCCCAACACACAAAACAAGCGGUGAGUGCUUUGGGGUGGGGUGACUGCGUACCUUUUGUAUAAUGGGUCAGCGACUUAUAUUCUGUAGCAAGGUUAACCGUAUAGGGGAGCCGUAGGGAAACCGAGUCUUAACCGGGCGUUAAGUUGCAGGGUAUAGACCCGAAACCCGGUGAUCUAGCCAUGGGCAGGUUGAAGGUUGGGUAACACUAACUGGAGGACCGAACCGACUAAUGUUGAAAAAUUAGCGGAUGACCUGUGGCUGGGGGUGAAAGGCCAAUCAAACCGGGAGAUAGCUGGUUCUCCCCGAAAGCUAUUUAGGUAGCGCCUCGUGAAUUCAUCUCCGGGGGUAGAGCACUGUUUCGGCUAGGGGGCCAUCCCGGCUUACCAACCCGAUGCAAACUGCGAAUACCGGAGAAUGUUAUCACGGGAGACACACGGCGGGUGCUAACGUCCGUCGUGAAGAGGGAAACAACCCAGACCGCCAGCUAAGGUCCCAAAGUCAUGGUUAAGUGGGAAACGAUGUGGGAAGGCCCAGACAGCCAGGAUGUUGGCUUAGAAGCAGCCAUCAUUUAAAGAAAGCGUAAUAGCUCACUGGUCGAGUCGGCCUGCGCGGAAGAUGUAACGGGGCUAAACCAUGCACCGAAGCUGCGGCAGCGACGCUGAUGCGUUGUUGGGUAGGGGAGCGUUCUGUAAGCCUGUGAAGGUGGCCUGUGAGGGUUGCUGGAGGUAUCAGAAGUGCGAAUGCUGACAUAAGUAACGAUAAAGCGGGUGAAAAGCCCGCUCGCCGGAAGACCAAGGGUUCCUGUCCAACGUUAAUCGGGGCAGGGUGAGUCGACCCCUAAGGCGAGGCCGAAAGGCGUAGUCGAUGGGAAACGGGUUAAUAUUCCCGUACUUGGUGUUACUGCGAAGGGGGGACGGAGAAGGCUAUGUUGGCCGGGCGACGGUUGUCCCGGUUUAAGCGUGUAGGUGUGUGUUCCAGGUAAAUCCGGUUCACUUUAACACUGAGGCGUGAUGACGAGGCACUACGGUGCUGAAGCAACAA
RNAcentral lists this ribosomal RNA (1665 nucleotides) under Salmonella enterica. RNAcentral's name for it is "partial 23S ribosomal RNA". It matches the Rfam family "Bacterial large subunit ribosomal RNA", at positions 1 to 1596 of the family's 2925-position model. Lineage: Bacteria; Pseudomonadati; Pseudomonadota; Gammaproteobacteria; Enterobacterales; Enterobacteriaceae. The record is from RNAcentral.